GUGGGUAGUUUGACUGGGGCGGUCUCCUCCUAAAGAGUAACGGAGGAGCACGAAGGUUGGCUAAUCCUGGUCGGACAUCAGGAGGUUAGUGCAAUGGCAUAAGCCAGCUUGACUGCGAGCGUGACGGCGCGAGCAGGUGCGAAAGCAGGUCAUAGUGAUCCGGUGGUUCUGAAUGGAAGGGCCAUCGCUCAACGGAUAAAAGGUACUCCGGGGAUAACAGGCUGAUACCGCCCAAGAGUUCAUAUCGACGGCGGUGUUUGGCACCUCGAUGUCGGCUCAUCACAUCCUGGGGCUGAAGUAGGUCCCAAGGGUAUGGCUGUUCGCCAUUUAAAGUGGUACGCGAGCUGGGUUUAGAACGUCGUGAGACAGUUCGGUCCCUAUCUGCCGUGGGCGCUGGAGAACUGAGGGGGGCUGCUCCUAGUACGAGAGGACCGGAGUGGACGCAUCACUGGUGUUCGGGUUGUCAUGCCAAUGGC
This 476-nucleotide ribosomal RNA is filed under the name Salmonella enterica subsp. enterica. Its description in RNAcentral is "partial 23S ribosomal RNA". It matches the Rfam family "Bacterial large subunit ribosomal RNA", at positions 2261 to 2736 of the family's 2925-position model. The record is from RNAcentral. RNAcentral also lists the same sequence under 1 other name. Lineage: Bacteria; Pseudomonadati; Pseudomonadota; Gammaproteobacteria; Enterobacterales; Enterobacteriaceae.